AGAAGGAAAUUUUGACCGGAAUCAGUGGUUCUGUUGAUCCAGGAGAAGUUUUGGCCAUGAUGGGGCCGUCUGGAAGUGGAAAGACAACGCUCCUCAGCCUGCUUGGAGGAAGAAUAAAAGAGCCAACAGGAAGAGGCUCAAUCACCUACAAUGAACAACCAUACUCAAAGCUUCUAAAGAGCAGGUAACCCUCCAUAAUUCACCAAGUGGUAUACACUAGAAAAUCUUGAGAACACAAUACGAAUGCCAUAUUUUUUCAUGAUAAUUCCAAUCUCAUGUUGCUAAAAUCAAAUAACAACGGCUCAUGUAGUUUAACAGAAGCUAAUAAUUUUUAAUAAAAAACAUUAUGCGAUGCUACUGCUGGAAAUUAUCAUGCACCUCAUGUUUAAAUUAGUUGCCAAAGUAAUUUGAAAAAGAUUAGUUGCCAGAGUAGAAGCACAGGAAAGAGUACUCUGACAGAGAUUUUGAUCAUCUCAUCUGUGAUUUAUGAAGCAAAAACAAGAGAUGUACUAACAAAUAUGCACAGGAAACACACUUUAAACAAACUGGCAUCUAAGUUCGAGCUAAAUGAAUUUGAUUGCAUCAUAGAUUAAAGUCAGAUAUCAAGGUAUCGGUCUACGCAAAUACAAACAUAAGCAGAGUUCAAGGAAAAAAACUUGCACAGAAUCUAACAUGGAUGUGAAAACUUUGGCAGGAUAGGAUUUGUGACUCAAGAUGACAUACUAUUUCCUCACUUGACAGUGAGAGAAACACUAACAUAUGCAGCUCGCCUACGACUGCCAAAGACAUUGACAAAGGAGGAGAAAGAAAAAAGAGCCAUAGAUGUGAUAUACGAGUUGGGACUAGAGAGGUAAUCGUUUCUCUACUUGACAAGUUCUCUAAUUUUCAUGACAUGCAGGGAACCAUUAAGCCUGAGAUCAUUACUAAGGCCACUUUCAGUCAUCUAACAAAUGAAUAGAUGGUCAUACUUUAAUAAAGCGAGUAUUUGACAAAAAAUAACCUUAGAUUGACAAACAACAAGAUGCACAAUUUCUUUGGUGAAAGCUAAUGAGGAAUGUGAUGUUUACAGAUGCCAAGAUACCAUGAUUGGUGGUUCCUUUGUUCGUGGAGUUUCAGGGGGAGAAAGAAAGCGUGUUUGUAUCGGAAAUGAGAUCAUAAUUAAUCCAUCCCUACUGUUCCUUGAUGAACCCACAUCGGGGUUGGACUCUACAACAGCUUUAAGGAUGGUUGAGAUAUUACACGAUAUAGCUGAGGUAACGUUUCUCUCAGUUUUAUCCAAGACCAUCAUAGUACUUCUAACUUCAUCAUAGAGGGAGUCUAUGUUAUCCUGUUAAAAGGUAUCCAAGCUAAUCCUUUUGAGGCACUUUGCACCUAAUUUUGUCUCAAUCCUGUGACAGGCUGGAAAGACAGUGAUCACAACAAUCCAUCAACCAUCCAGCAGACUUUUCCACAAGUUUGAUAAGUUGAUUCUUCUUGGCAAAGGGAGCUUACUUUAUUUUGGGAAGGCAUCUGAAGCAAUGGUCUAUUUUUCAGCUAUAGGAUGCUCACCUCUGAUUUCAAUGAAUCCAGCAGAGUUCCUGCUAGACCUUGCAAAUGGAAACCUUAAUGAUGUCUCUGUUCCAUCGGAGUUGGAGGACAAAGUGCAGAUCGGGAACUCAGAUAGAGAGACAGGGAACGGAAAGCCAACACCAAUAGUUGUGCAUGAGGUGAAUAAAAUUUACAUUUAUUACCCAAAAAACUAAUGCACAGCCGAAAGAGAAAAGACCUCAAGCAAUCACUUGGCAUGAAUUUAAUGUUUUUUAUGUUCCCUUCUUUUUUUGUUUGUAUGAAUCCUGCUUUUCAUAUGUCAAUUUCUCAUUUUCCCUGAACAGUAUCUAGUGGAAGCCUACGAGACACAAGUGGCUGAGAGUGAAAAAAAGAAACUUAUGGCCCCCAUGAUGAUUGAUGAAGAGUUGAAGUCUAAAGUCUUUUCUAUAAAGAGAGAGUGGGGAGCAAGCUGGUGUGAACAAUACUCCAUAUUAUUUUGGAGAGGACUUAAAGAACGGCGGUAUGAUUAUUUUAGCUGGUUGAGAAUCACUCAAGUAAUUGCAACUGCACUUAUCUUGGGUAUGCUCUGGUGGCAGUCUGGUGGUGAUAGUCCUAAACAAAUGCGAGAACAGGUAUGAGGCUCUACUCUUGUAUGCACAAGAUGAUCAAAGGAUUUGACAUUAGGUUCCUAAAUGAAAGCUAAUAUCUAAGAUUACAGAGAAUGUAUCAUUCAUCCCAUGUUCAUGGUUUCGAUCAAAAAAUCAUAAGUCUAAAACAAAUAGGAGAGAAUAGGAUUAUUCAAGAACCUCAAUUAGAAACUCUAUUAGCAUAUAUGCCAAGACACAUUUAUGAAUAGAGAAUCUCAUGUUGAAUCAAAAUAGAAGUCCUAAAGAAGCAAACUGAAACAUUUACGAAACUUUUCUAAUAUGCACUAGGAGCAUAAUUGCACCAAUACUGAAAUGUGAAAUUCACUGCAGUCGGGAUUGCUGUUCUUCAUUGCUGUGUUCUGGGGGUUUUUUCCAGUUUUCACAGCAAUCUUCACAUUUCCGCAAGAAAGGGCAAUGCUGAACAAGGAACGAUCUGCUGACAUGUACAGAUUAAGCGCAUAUUUUUUGGCUAGAACCACCAGUGAUAUUCCACUUGAUCUUAUACUGCCAGUGCUCUUCCUUUUAGUGGUAUAUUUCAUGGCAGGAUUGAAACAUGACGCUGAUGCCUUCUUCCUAACUGUGCUUACAACUUUCCUCUGCAUUGUAGCAGCUCAGGUACUCCAUGUUUUUCUUUUUUUCCAUGUAUAAACUGACAGUUUCCCUACCUUGGUAAUUUGAAUAAUCCUUACUUCAUUGUUGGCAGGGAUUAGGACUAGCAAUAGGGGCUACACUAAUGGAUUUAAAGAAGGCAACCACUUUGGCCUCUGUUACUGUAAUGACCUUUAUGUUAGCUGGUGGAUAUUUCGUAAAGGUAAGGAUGCACUAUCCUCUCACAUCGAAAUGAUUUACCUUAGAAGCUGUAGUUCUGAUAUAGGAUUUGAAUUCUGCAGAAAGUACCAGUAUUUAUAUCAUGGUUGCGGUACCUAUCCUAUAACUAUCAAACGUACAAACUCCUUCUAAAGGUUCAAUAUAAGGAGAAAAAUGACUGGGUGGACGGGAUUAAAGUAGGCAGCGGUGUAAAGGAAGUAUGUAUACUACUAGCUAUGGUUUUUGGCUACCGGCUCCUGGCAUACAUAUCUUUGCGAAGAAUGAAGCUUCACUCAGGUGCUUAGAUGAUGCAAAUGAUGGUUCAUUUCAAACUAAACAACUAGUCUAUGCAGCUUCCACUGAUCAUAAAAGGUACCUGAUUCUGAUAUAAGUUGCAGCACAAGGAAAGAAGAUUUGGCUGCAGUGCCUGAUGAAGUUUUAGUUUUUCGUUUUUCUGUUUACCUCUACGCAUAGUUGUAAAUUUUUAAAUCUAUUAGAAACUAGAAACAGAAAUGAACUGUAUGUAGAAUGUUCCCAUAGAUGCUGAGAUGGAGAUCAUAUUCAUGAUUACUCCUUUAAAAAUUUUGGUUCCAUUGUACCUUUCAUGUUUGCAGCAGUUUCCAAAGUAAAAACUGAGACACAAGAGUUCACUUUUAAAAAGUUUCCAACUGUGCAUGUCAAAUCUGAAUUAGUUGCACAUUCAGAAGGCCCCAGAGCUCAGGAACAUUGUAGUAUGGGAAAAAUCAAUGGUGAUGAUUAAAAAAAGAAAUAACUACAGUGGGUAUAAGGAAAAAAACUACUUGGAGAUUUGGUAGGGGUGAGAAAUUAAUAGCCCCUCCCUUCCAACUUAGGACCAGGAAACAUGUAAUAAGCAAGAGCUCAUAUUCUACUGUAUGUUAGCAUUUUGGCUCCAAAAGUUGAGAUAAAGUUUAUGUUUUGGUGGAUUUAAACUUAUUAAGAACAAAAGGGGAUUUGAUAUGAACUUCUCCGUCAUGCCAGUGAUAAAGUUAUUGAUCUUUGAGGGGGAAGGGUUUUGUUUUUUUAGAGUGUAGACACAUCUUUGGUGAAAGCCAUGAAGAACUGUUGAAUAGAUAGUAUGAUACUAUAAUUUAUGCUCAAAACAUAAGCAAAAGAAUUAAUCUUAAGUUAGAAAAGUGAGGGUGCUCACUACCCAUAUUAGAGGUGACAAAUGUGGAAAACCAAAAGCUAACCCUUUUAGAAUAACAAUUGCAUGAUAUGUAUGUUAAGGUUAAGAUUGCGUAUUUAUACCAUCUGUGAGUCAUAUUCAUGAACUGCUUUUAGCAACAGUGAGUUGAGAUGCUUCUGUAAUGAUGUUCUAAUAAGUCAAUACAGGAAAUACUAAAAUAGCGUUAAAGUAUAGGUUCAAAGCCAACAAAUUUAUCUCCUUGUAUAAUCGCAACAAUCACUUAAUUUAAUAACAAUAGCAAUUAAACUCACUACAAAAUAGACAGAAAACAAGGGCCUUCCACUGAAACACUAACACGUUUCAGUUGAAAAACAUCUAAUGAAAAGCAAUUAUAUAUUGAUGGUAGACAUCAAACAGAAGCUUGCUAACCAAAACUGAAUUCUUUCCAUGACCAAAUACCUUAACUAGAUUGUGUUUCGCGGAAAAGAGCUAAAAGUCUCGUGUGGUAAAAUUUGGCACCAACUAAUGCUUUGUUAACAAAGAAUCGCGUGUCAUUUUCUUUUAAUAAGCAUUAAUUACCAUGAAGUUUCUUGAAGAAGCCGGCCACUUGCCUGCCAGGAUAUACUAUGUUUCUUUUUAUCAUGCCAACCAAGUUGCCCACGAAGAACACUGUCCAGUACAUCAGAGGCCUUUUCUCAAACCCUAUGAUAAAAGGAGGAAACUCAAGUCAGACACAUUCCGUAUUUCAGUUACUACAUCUGACAUGAAUACAAACAUUGUAGGUACCUAUUAUGCCACAUAUAUACAUAUAAGAGGCACACUAAUAGGGGCUGAAGACAACUCUGCAUACAUGACCAAUUAGUAUUUAGUCACCAAACAGGCACACAAAGCAAUAUCAUAAACCACUAAUUUGAAAUUUCAAAAACCACAUCUCUGAUAGCGGCAAUGGUAUGAAAAUAGACGGUUCUGUCUACGAAUUUACAUAAAUCAGCAGCAACACGAUAAGCCCUCAUUACUCCUGAAAUUCAAGGGAAAGAAACCAUCUUCAACGCUAUAUAAAUCAGCAGAAAGAAAAAGCAAUUACAUACGGAAAGAAUUAUUUAACAUACAGUGGUAUUGAAUGGCAAACCCUUCGGAUUUCUCUGUGGCAUAUCGUGAAUGGGUCUUUGGCCUUCCCACAUAGAAGAUGGAUGCAAGUCCCGAUGUCAACUCAUUUAGCAAGCAUGAACGUAUCUAAUAAGUGAAAAAAGCAAUUUUUGCUAAUAUUGUAUUGUUAAAUAAGAAUGAAUGAGAAAGUUAUCAAAUGGUAAUUGGAUUGUUUUAGUCGUUAAUAUAUACCGCUUCAUAGAAAUAGUCCUUUUU
RNAcentral lists this long non-coding RNA (5490 nucleotides) under Nicotiana tabacum (common tobacco). RNAcentral's name for it is "long non-coding RNA (NTAB_LNC007019)". The record is from RNAcentral. Lineage: Eukaryota; Viridiplantae; Streptophyta; Magnoliopsida; Solanales; Solanaceae.